GAUGAAGAACGCAGUGAAAUGCGAUAAGUAGUGUGAAUUGCAGAAUUCAGUGAAUCAUCGAAUCUUUGAACGCACAUUGCGCCCCUCGGUAUUCCGUGGGGCAUGCCUGUUCGAGCGUCAUUUACCCCUCAAGCACUGCUUGGUGUUGGGCGUCUGUCCCGCUUCGCGCGCGGACUCGCCCCAAAGGUAUUGGCAGCGGUCGUGCCAGCUUCCCGCGCAGCACAUUGCGCUUCUCGAGGCGGUCGAUCGGCGUCCACGAAGCUCACCUCCACCGUUUGACCUCGGAUCAGGUAGGGAUACCCGCUGAACUUAAGCAUAUCAAUAAGCGGAGGA
RNAcentral lists this unclassified non-coding RNA (333 nucleotides) under soil metagenome. RNAcentral describes it as "partial contains 5.8S ribosomal RNA, internal transcribed spacer 2, and large subunit ribosomal RNA". The stretch from base 1 to 120 matches the Rfam family "5.8S ribosomal RNA", at positions 35 to 154 of the family's 154-position model. The record is from RNAcentral.